CCUACGGGAGGCAGCAGUGGGGAAUAUUGCACAAUGGGCGAAACCCUGAUGCAGCGACGCCGCGUGAGUGAUGAAGUAUCUCGGUACGUAAAGCUCUAUCAGCAGGGAAGAAAAUGACGGUAUCUGACUAACAAUCCCCGUCUAACUACGUGCCAGCAGCCGCGGUAAUACGUAGGGUGCAAGCGUUAUCCGGAUUUACUGGGUGUAAAGGGAGCGUAGACGGCAGGACAAGUCAGGAGUGAAAUCCCGGGGCUUAACCGCGGAACUGCUUUGGAAACUGUGCGGCUGGAGUGCAGGAGGGGUAAGCGGAAUUCCUGGUGUAGCGGUGAAAUGCGUAGAUAUUAGGAGGAACACCGGUGGCGAAGGCGGCUUACUGGACUGUAACUGACGUUGAGGCUCGAAAGCGUGGGGAGCAAACAGGAUUAGAUACCCUAGUAGUC
This 440-nucleotide ribosomal RNA is filed under the name uncultured bacterium. Its description in RNAcentral is "partial 16S ribosomal RNA". It matches the Rfam family "Bacterial small subunit ribosomal RNA", at positions 338 to 795 of the family's 1533-position model. The record is from RNAcentral.